UAUGGCCAUAUCACUUUGAAACACCGGCUCGCUUACGAUCACCGAAGUUAAGCAACAUCGAGCCUGAUCAAUAACUAGAUGAUUGACCGCUUGGGAAUACCAGUUGCUGUCAG
This is a non-coding RNA of Acanthosepion pharaonis, 113 nucleotides long. Lineage: Eukaryota; Metazoa; Mollusca; Cephalopoda; Sepiida; Sepiidae. The record is from the annotation of a GenBank genome assembly.